AAUCUUCCGCAAUGGACGCAAGUCUGACGGAGCAACGCCGCGUGAACGAUGAAGGUCUNCGGAUCNUNAAGUUCUGUUGUUAGGGNCGAAUGGGUGUGGGAGUAACUGUUCAUACUUUGACGGUACCUGACGAGAAAGCCACGGCUAACUACGUGCCAGCAGCCGCGGUAAUACGUAGGUGGCAAGCGUUGUCCGGAAUUAUUGGGCGUAAAGCGCGCGCAGGCGGUCUUUUAAGUCUGAUGUGAAAUCUUGCGGCUUAACCGUAAGCGGUCAUUGGAAACUGGGAGACUUGAGUACAGAAGAGGAGAGUGGAAUUCCACGUGUAGCGGUGGAAUGCGUAGAGAUGUGGAGGAACACCAGUGGCGAAGGCGACUCUCUGGUCUGUGACUGACGCUGAGGCGCGAAAGCGUGGGGAGCAAAC
Molecule: ribosomal RNA, 421 nt
Filed under: uncultured bacterium
Lineage: Bacteria
Description: partial 16S ribosomal RNA
Rfam family: Bacterial small subunit ribosomal RNA
Source: RNAcentral